Triticum aestivum (bread wheat) is the source of this 136-nucleotide non-coding RNA. Lineage: Eukaryota; Viridiplantae; Streptophyta; Magnoliopsida; Poales; Poaceae. The record is from Rfam.
CAAAUACUCCCUCCGUACGGAAAUACUUAUCAUCAAAAUGGAUAAAAGGAAAUGUAUCAAGACGUAUUUUAGUUAUAGAUACAUCUCUUUUUAUCCAUUUUGAUGACAAGUAUUUUUCGGAUGGAGGGAGUUUUUA